This 413-nucleotide ribosomal RNA is filed under the name Saccharomyces cerevisiae (brewer's yeast). Its description in RNAcentral is "eukaryotic LSU rRNA". It matches the Rfam family "Eukaryotic large subunit ribosomal RNA", at positions 37 to 446 of the family's 3401-position model. The record is from RNAcentral. Lineage: Eukaryota; Fungi; Ascomycota; Saccharomycetes; Saccharomycetales; Saccharomycetaceae.
UGCAUAUCCAAUAAGCGGAGGAAAAGAAACCAACCGGGAUUGCCUUAGUAACGGCGAGUGAAGCGGCAAAAGCUCAAAUUUGAAAUCUGGUACCUUCGGUGCCCGAGUUGUAAUUUGGAGAGGGCAACUUUGGGGCCGUUCCUUGUCUAUGUUCCUUGGAACAGGACGUCAUAGAGGGUGAGAAUCCCGUGUGGCGAGGAGUGCGGUUCUUUGUAAAGUGCCUUCGAAGAGUCGAGUUGUUUGGGAAUGCAGCUCUAAGUGGGUGGUAAAUUCCAUCUAAAGCUAAAUAUUGGCGAGAGACCGAUAGCGAACAAGUACAGUGAUGGAAAGAUGAAAAGAACUUUGAAAAGAGAGUGAAAAAGUACGUGAAAUUGUUGAAAGGGAAGGGCAUUUGAUCAGACAUGGUGUUUUGU